This 292-nucleotide ribosomal RNA is filed under the name uncultured Prevotella sp. RNAcentral describes it as "partial 16S ribosomal RNA". It matches the Rfam family "Bacterial small subunit ribosomal RNA", at positions 355 to 644 of the family's 1533-position model. The record is from RNAcentral. Lineage: Bacteria; Pseudomonadati; Bacteroidota; Bacteroidia; Bacteroidales; Prevotellaceae.
GGAGGAAUAUUGGUCAAUGGGCGAGAGCCUGAACCAGCCAAGUAGCGUGCAGGAAGACGGCCCUAUGGGUUGUAAACUGCUUUUAUAGGGGAAUAAAGUGAGCCACGUGUGGCUUUUUGCAUGUACCCUAUGAAUAAGGACCGGCUAAUUCCGUGCCAGCAGCCGCGGUAAUACGGAAGGUCCGGGCGUUAUCCGGAUUUAUUGGGUUUAAAGGGAGCGUAGGCCGGAGAUUAAGCGUGUUGUGAAAUGUAGACGCUCAACGUCUGCACUGCAGCGCGAACUGGUUUCCUGG